UAGGGUGACUGACUAUCCUGGUUUGCCUGGGAAUGAGGGGUUUCAUGGGACACUGGACUUCCAGUGCUAAAACCAAGGCAGUC
This 83-nucleotide microRNA precursor is filed under the name Myotis lucifugus (little brown bat). RNAcentral's name for it is "miRNA (ENSMLUG00000021666.1)". The record is from RNAcentral. Lineage: Eukaryota; Metazoa; Chordata; Mammalia; Chiroptera; Vespertilionidae.